AAUGUAGGCUGUUUUGCAAGUCAGGGGUGAAACCCCUCAGCUUAACUGAGGAAGUGCCUUUGAAACUGCAUAACUAGAGGACAGGAGAGGAAAGUGGAAUUCCCGGUGUAGCGGUGGAAUGCGUAGAUAUCGGGAGGAACACCAGAGGCGAAGGCGGCUUUCUGGACUGAUCCUGACGCUGAGAUUCGAAAGCUAGGGGAGCAAACAGGAUUAGAUACCCUGGUAGUCC
RNAcentral lists this ribosomal RNA (229 nucleotides) under uncultured bacterium. Its description in RNAcentral is "partial 16S ribosomal RNA". It matches the Rfam family "Bacterial small subunit ribosomal RNA", at positions 568 to 796 of the family's 1533-position model. The record is from RNAcentral.